AGUGAACGCUGGCGGUAGGCCUAACACAUGCAAGUCGAACGGCAGCACAGUAAGAGCUUGCUCUUACGGGUGGCGAGUGGCGGACGGGUGAGGAAUACAUCGGAAUCUACUUUUUCGUGGGGGAUAACGUAGGGAAACUUACGCUAAUACCGCAUACGACCUACGGGUGAAAGCAGGGGAUCUUCGGACCUUGCGCGAUUGAAUGAGCCGAUGUCGGAUUAGCUAGUUGGCGGGGUAAAGGCCCACCAAGGCGACGGUCCGUAGCUGGUCUGAGAGGAUGAUCAGCCACAGUGGAACUGAGACACGGUCCAGACUCCUACGGGAGGCAGCAGUGGGGAAUAUUGGACAAUGGGCGCAAGCCUGAUCCAGCCAGACCGCGUGGGUGAAGAAGGCCUUCGGGUUGUAAAGCCCUUUUGUUGGGAAAGAAAAGCAGCAGGUUAAUACCCCGCUGUUCUGACGGUACCCAAAGAAUAAGCACCGGCUAACUUCGUG
RNAcentral lists this ribosomal RNA (492 nucleotides) under uncultured bacterium. Its description in RNAcentral is "partial 16S ribosomal RNA". It matches the Rfam family "Bacterial small subunit ribosomal RNA", at positions 29 to 507 of the family's 1533-position model. The record is from RNAcentral.